This 265-nucleotide ribosomal RNA is filed under the name uncultured bacterium. RNAcentral describes it as "partial 16S ribosomal RNA". It matches the Rfam family "Bacterial small subunit ribosomal RNA", at positions 91 to 353 of the family's 1533-position model. The record is from RNAcentral.
ACGAGUGGCGGACGGGUGGAGUAAUGUCUGGGAAACUGCCUGAUGGAGGGGGGAGUAACUACUGGAAACGGUAGCUAAUACCGCAUAACGUCGCAAGACCAAAGAGGGGGACCUUCGGGCCUCUUGCCAUCGGAUGUGCCCAGAUGGGAUUAACUAGUAGGUGGGGUAACGGGCUCACCUAGGCGACGAUCCCUAGCUGGUCUGAGAGGAUGACCAGCCACACUGGAACUGAGACACGGUCCAGACUCCUACGGGAGGCAGCAUG